This 222-nucleotide ribosomal RNA is filed under the name Salmonella enterica subsp. enterica serovar Mbandaka. Its description in RNAcentral is "partial 23S ribosomal RNA". It matches the Rfam family "Bacterial large subunit ribosomal RNA", at positions 1124 to 1345 of the family's 2925-position model. Lineage: Bacteria; Pseudomonadati; Pseudomonadota; Gammaproteobacteria; Enterobacterales; Enterobacteriaceae. The record is from RNAcentral.
UAAAGAAAGCGUAAUAGCUCACUGGUCGAGUCGGCCUGCGCGGAAGAUGUAACGGGGCUAAACCAUGCACCGAAGCUGCGGCAGCGACACUGUGUGUUGUUGGGUAGGGGAGCGUUCUGUAAGCCUGCGAAGGUGGCCUGUGAGGGUUGCUGGAGGUAUCAGAAGUGCGAAUGCUGACCUAAGUAAGGAUAAAGCGGGUGAAAAGCCCGCUCGCCGGAAGAC